GCCAGGUCUCUAAUUGGUUCAUCAAUGCAAGAGUAAGGCUCUGGAAACCAAUGGUGGAGGAAAUACACAUGCUGGAAACACGGCAAGCACAAAAAUCUUCACAAAGGGUGGAACAAAAUGCUAACAAAUCAAGUGAUCAGGUACAUCUUUCAAACUCCGUUGCAUCAGAUGACCCGUCAGCCUCCAUCCAAAGGGUUCAAGACAUCCUCUCAAAGCGCACUAGAAAUGAUCUUCCUGAUUUACCUCCGGGGAAUGAGGAAGCAUUGAAUUUGUCUUACAACAGUAUGUCGAGCAAUCCGCCUGUAGGAGUUGGUAUAAGGGCAGCAGGUGGAAGCAGCAGUGUUUCCUUAACACUAGGCCUUCACCAGAAUAAUGGGAUAGGUUUGUCAGAGCCCUUCCCUAUGAAUGCAGCACAACGUUUUGGUCUCGGUCUUGAGACAAGUAGCGAGGGAUUUGUUAUGGGGAGUUUUGAAGCACAAAAUCGGCACUUUGG
RNAcentral lists this unclassified non-coding RNA (493 nucleotides) under Hevea brasiliensis (rubber tree). The record is from RNAcentral. Lineage: Eukaryota; Viridiplantae; Streptophyta; Magnoliopsida; Malpighiales; Euphorbiaceae.